GGCAAAGGCUACUAGUUUGCCACGUGGCCCACUGAUUUGAGAGAAUUUUGUUUGUAACUUCAAAGGAGCUAUUGAAAUCGCUUUCUUUCUCCAACUUUUUUUUUGAUGUGUACAAAGUAAGAAUCUUUUCGGCCUAUUAUAAUCCUCCCAUCGGUGUCAAUGAUUUUAUCACCGCAUUAUGCUUGAACUUUGAGGUGAAAAAAAUGAUAGUAUCAUUUCCCUAUUUGAUUGUUCCUGCAAUGUGUCACCCUAGAAAAUUUCUUAUUUUAGGAGUUAUUAUGAUUCAUAUAUUUGGACUCAACAUAUGUUAUUUGAAUAUAAGAGGUACUUACUAACUAAAACAUUAUAUCAGAUGAAGUAAUUCAUAGUUUUCAUUUUUUUUAUUUUCCCAAAAAUGAUUAUUCUUGUUCUAAGCCCUGCAUGUGUGAAUUCUUAUGGCCUUGAAAAUAAAUUGUCAACUGGACGGUUAUUUGUUUGUGCCUGUGAGAUAUUAAGUUUGAUGCAUCAAGUCUUGAAAGAGUUCUUACGACAUAUCAGAAGUUGUCGCUUGCAUGCUUCUACAUAAUUAUGUGAUACCGAGAGGCACUAAUUUUGUCUUUUCAUUGAAUGAGAAACUGAGUGAACUAAAAGCAACUACAAAGGUUAGAUACUUUCAUCUUGGAUCUUUAUUAAAUAACCGAGAUUAUUAAGGUUGGGGUUGAUGUGGGAAAGAUACUUUAGUAAUUUGCAAUAUAAUUUGUUAAAAAUCUAGUUGACCAUUAGAAAAUGGUGUGAAUGUAUUUUUCAUCACAAAUCCUUUUGUUAGUUUUAUAAUUUUUAGUAGAAUUUAGCUAUAAAAUUUAAUGGGCGGAUUUUAUAAUACUGGGUCCUAUGUCAACUGAAAUACUGACAAUAUUUUUGUACUGUAGCCUCUAUAAAUGAUCACUUAGUUAUAGAUGAGCAAUUUUGAUUUCUGAACACCAAAUAUACAAAAUAGUAUCCUAUAAAGUAUCUCCAGAAUCUGCAGCUAUUCAAGUCACUGUCUAAAAUGUGGAUAGAUAUUGCACACCCUGGGAUAACUCACUUGUAUACGAACUUUAAAAUAUCUUCACUUAUGUUGGUGAAGGAAUAGUAACAGGCUCCUGGGCUAUAUAAAUGAACCUCAUGUUCUACUUUCUGUAACUUAGGUGAUCGGCAACCUGUGUAUUCAUUUUUGGGAUUGACUCCUACUUUAAAGGCUUCACUUCGCCUCAUUUUUUUCCUGACUGUUCAAUACUUGUGAAUGGAGUACGGUAAUUUGCGACGUCAAGCAGCUUCCUUGAAAAAGAGCCUCUUCGAUCAGGGUUACUUGGAUGAGCAAUUUUGUCAGGUUGAGGAUUUGCAGGAUGAAGCAAAUCCAAAUUUUGCAGAGGAGGUUGUUUCCUUGUUUUUUAAGGAUUCAACCAGGGUAAUGUUGAAUUUUGAGCAAGCUAUUGAGAAGCAUCCGAAAGACUUCGCCAGAUGGGACACACACAUGCAGCAAUUGAAAGGCAGCUGUUCUAGCAUUGGUGCCUCCAGGGUGAAGAAUGAAUGCACUUCAUUCAGGAAUUUCUGUGGAGAAGAAAACGCCGAAGGUUGCACGAGAUCCUUCCAGAAAGUGAAGAGGGAGCAUGCCGUCCUCAGGCAGAAGUGGGAGUCCUACUUCCAGCUGUUGCGACAAGCUGGUCCUGCUGGGACCGCGACUAGGCCUGCGGGCAAGUAAGCUAUAAGCAGCCGGCUAUUGAAUUGGUCUCGGGCUGCUGCUGCCGUGGAUGCGACUAGGCUGAUUGCGAUGGGUUUAUAUACAGCUAUAACCACAGAUGAAACUGUCCGGCUGUGUCGGUGACCAUUGCUAUGCUGGAGAUAGUGUGAUCGGCCGACAAAAGUUUAUGAAGCGGAUCGGCGUGCGGAAGUGAUUGAAUGGCUCAAUGCGUUACUCCCGGAGUACUGUUUGCCACUGGACUCAUCGGAUGACGAGUUGCGGGAGCUGCUCAGUGAUGGCACGGUCUUGUGCCAUAUCGUGAACGCACUCAUUCCUGGUGUUCUCGAGGAGUCGUGGGGUGCUUAUGCAUCGUCAGAUCAACAUGCAGGCCAUGUGAAGAAGUUCCUCGCAGUGGUUGCUGAUAUGGGGUUGCCAGGCUUCAGUGUUAAAGAUCUUGAGGAGGGUUCAAUGUCUGGGGUAGUGGACUGCCUCUUGGUUCUGAGGGAAAGUGUGAGUUCUGGAUUACGUGAUGGUACUUCCAAGGCUCCUUUGAGGAAAAAAUGGCGAGUUCCAGAAACUGGUGAACCUCUUGUCCCUGGUGUGGCACAAGGGAAGACAUCCCCUGGAGAGGACAAGAGGAAUGGCCUUCCAGACCCUAAGUCUCAGCAGAAAACUCCCAUCUUUAAUGGACGAAAGCUUCGUGAGAUUUUCCAAUUAAAACGUGGAUCCUAUGCUGAUCUUCCGGCUGCCAAGAUUUCAGAAAUGAUGCAUUCUAACAGUUUAGAUAAUGCACCAACCCAAUCCCUUCUUAGCGUCGUUAAUGGCAUUUUGGACGAAAGCAUUGAAAGGAAAAAGGGAGAAAUACCACAUCGUGUAGUGUACCUACUGAGGAAAGUAGUUCAAGAAAUUGAGCGUCGUCUUUGUAUUCAAGCAGAGCACAUAAGAAGUCAAAAUGUGAUCAUUAAGACAAGGGAAGAUAAAUACCAUUCAAAAAUCAAAGCACUUGAAAUAUUAGUAAAUGGGACAAAUGAAGAAAACCAGAUGGCUAUAAACCGGCUUCAGAUAAUUAAGGAAGAGAAGUCAAAAAUAGAAGAGAAAAGGAAACUUGGUGAGCAAGAUGUUGCUCGGCUAAUGAAAGAAAAAGAAAUUUCUGAAAACACAAUAGCUAGUCUUAAGAAAGAGAUGGAAGUCAUGACUAGCAUGCAUGAGCAACAACUUCAGAAAAUCGAACUGACCGCAAAGCAAAUGGAAGAACAUUUAACUACCAAAAUUAAGGAGGUUGAGUCUCUUUUAGUGCAAUCAAACAAGAAAAUUGAAGAAGUUGAGGCUGCUUCCCUGUUAAAAUCACAGUUGUGGAAUAAGAAGGAGGGCAUUUUUCAGAAAUACAUGAAUAGUCAACAACUAUAUGUCAAGGGUUUAAGGAUAUCAUCAUGGUCUAUAAAAAAUGAGAUGCAUGCCCUUGAAAUGGAGUUGAGAGAUGAGAUGUCCAAUUUUGGCUCUGGUUUAAAGUGUUUGGUUGAUGCUGCUGAAAACUACCACAAAGUUCUUGCUGAAAAUCAAAAGUUGUUCAAUGAAGUGCAAGAACUAAAAGGUAAUAUAAGGGUGUAUUGUCGUGUAAGACCAUUUCUUCCUGGUCAAGAUAAAAAAUCAACCACUGUUGAUUACAUUGGUGAAAAUGGUGAGCUUUUGAUCUCAAAUCCAUUUAAACAAGGAAAGGAUGGACAUCGGAUGUUCAAGUUUAACAAGGUUUUUAGUCCAUUUUCUUCUCAAGCUGAGGUUUUCUCGGACAUUCAACCGCUGAUUCGAUCAGUUCUUGAUGGAUUCAAUGUUUGUAUUUUUGCUUAUGGUCAAACUGGUUCAGGAAAAACUUACACAAUGAGUGGACCCAGCACAUCAAAACAAGAUUGGGGUGUCAAUUACAGGGCUUUAAAUGAUUUAUUUGAUAUCUCACUAAGUAGGAGAAAUGCUUUCUCUUAUGAGGUGGGAGUUCAGAUGGUUGAGAUAUACAAUGAACAAGUGCGGGAUCUUCUGUCAAAUGAUAUUGCACAGAAACGACUUGGCAUAUGGAGCACCUCUCAACCUAAUGGACUUGUCGUCCCAGAUGCGAGCUUACACCCAGUUAAAUCAACAUCAGAUGUUUUAGACUUGAUGGAAAUUGGACAGGCAAAUAGAGCUGUUGGUUCAACAGCUCUUAAUGAAAGGAGCAGUCGGUCUCAUAGUAUUCUGACUGUACAUGUUCGAGGGUUGGAUGUGAAGAAUGGAUCCACUUCUAGAGGAUGCCUACAUCUUAUUGAUCUUGCAGGGAGUGAAAGGGUUGAGCGGUCUGAAGCAACUGGAGAUAGAUUGAAAGAGGCUCAACACAUUAAUAAAUCACUGUCUGCUUUGGGUGAUGUGAUUUUUGCUUUGGCGCAAAAGAAUGCUCAUGUGCCAUACAGGAACAGCAAGCUAACACAAGUUCUUCAAAGCUCUUUAGGUGGACAAGCAAAGACACUAAUGUUUGUUCAAAUAAAUCCUGAUGUUGAGUCAUAUUCAGAGACUAUAAGCACUCUAAAGUUUGCUGAAAGGGUUUCUGGAGUUGAGUUAGGUGCUGCAAGAAGUAAUAAAGAGGGAAAGGAUAUAAAAGAGCUGCUGGAACAGGUUGCAUCUUUGAAAGACACUAUUGUACGAAAAGAUACGGAAAUUGAGCAGCUCCAACUCAUGAAAGACAAAGUCAAAUCGCCAAGUUUUGCAGUCGAUAUAAAUGGUGCUAGCAUGCCAAAAAAUUCUAACUCUGACCUAAGAUCAGUAUUGUCAAUCACAACAAACCAACAGAGCCAACUAUCAGAUCCUCAGAGUUAUGCUGAGGUGAACAGAGAUGGUGGACCUACUUCAUACACUGACAUUACACCAACAUGCUUGGAUGAAGCAGAUUUUGAGGACAAUGCAUCAGAAGAUGGUUUCUCUGGAGGAACCGACUAUUCUGUUGGCUGUGCUGCCGGUGCCAGCGUUUUCCCAAAUUCCUGCUCAGAUAGAACCGCAGAUACCUCCAUUAGGAGAAUUUCAUCACGAAUAGCUCGAUUCAGUCUCACAAAGAAUGGACAACCAGCAACAUCCAGACCAAAACCAAAGGAUACUGCUCCGAAGACUCCAAAUCAAACGAGAGUUCAAUCGAGCCAAUUGAUAGGAGGCUCUUCACUGAGGGCAUCUAAAAGGUGGCAGAAGUAGAGCACGCUCCGGUUGCUCAGUUGUAUUUUGUAUGUCCAGAAUGUGAAAAUAGGCGAAGUAGCUGUAGGAGACAAUGUACUUGUAAGUUGUAACUCUACAGAUGUGAGAGCAUUCUGCUGACGAAGGACGAGCAGCUGAUGACUCAUCCUUUGCUCAUACAGAUCAAAUAUCCAGGAAAGGAUUCCCUUUUCUGUUCUCCA
Non-coding RNA from Oryza sativa Japonica Group (Japanese rice), 5103 nucleotides. Lineage: Eukaryota; Viridiplantae; Streptophyta; Magnoliopsida; Poales; Poaceae. The record is from RefSeq and is a predicted model, not a curated record.